UGCAGUCGAGCGGACAGAUGGGAGCUUGCUCCCUGAUGUUAGCGGCGGACGGGUGAGUAACACGUGGGUAACCUGCCUGUAAGACUGGGAUAACUCCGGGAAACCGGGGCUAAUACCGGAUGGUUGUUUGAACCGCAUGGUUCAAACAUAAAAGGUGGCUUCGGCUACCACUUACAGAUGGACCCGCGGCGCAUUAGCUAGUUGGUGAGGUAAUGGCUCACCAAGGCAACGAUGCGUAGCCGACCUGAGAGGGUGAUCGGCCACACUGGGACUGAGACACGGCCCAGACUCCUACGGGAGGCAGCAGUAGGGAAUCUUCCGCAAUGGACGAAAGUCUGACGGAGCAACGCCGCGUGAGUGAUGAAGGUUUUCGGAUCGUAAAGCUCUGUUGUUAGGGAAGAACAAGUACCGUUCGAAUAGGGCGGUACCUUGACGGUACCUAACCAGAAAGCCACGGCUAACUACGUGCCAGCAGCCGCGGUAAUACGUAGGUGGCAAGCGUUGUCCGGAAUUAUUGGGCGUAAAGGGCUCGCAGGCGGUUUCUUAAGUCUGAUGUGAAAGCCCCCGGCUCAACCGGGGAGGGUCAUUGGAAACUGGGGAACUUGAGUGCAGAAGAGGAGAGUGGAAUUCCACGUGUAGCGGUGAAAUGCGUAGAGAUGUGGAGGAACACCAGUGGCGAAUCUG
This 684-nucleotide ribosomal RNA is filed under the name Bacillus subtilis. Its description in RNAcentral is "bacterial SSU rRNA". It matches the Rfam family "Bacterial small subunit ribosomal RNA", at positions 56 to 723 of the family's 1533-position model. Lineage: Bacteria; Bacillati; Bacillota; Bacilli; Caryophanales; Bacillaceae. The record is from RNAcentral.